UAACGAAUCUUCCGCAAUGGGCGAAAGCCUGACGGAGCAAUGCCGCGUGUGGGAUGAAGCGCCUUCGGCGUGUAAACCACUGUCAGGGAACGGAACCAAUGAUUGUUCCCAAAGGAAGUGGCGACUAACUCUGUGCCAGCAGUCGCGGUAAUACAGAGGCCACAAGCGUUAGUCGGAAUCACUGGGCUUAAAGGGUGCGUAGGCGGGCUCGCAAGCGUCUUGUGAAAUCCCAUGGCUCAACCAUGGAAUUGCAGGGCGAACUGCGAGUCUUGAGGCAGGUAGGGGCCGGAAGAACAGUAGGUGGAGCGGUGAAAUGCGUAGAUAUCUACUGGAAUGCCGAUGGGGAAGCCGUCCGGCUGGGCCUGUCCUGACGCUGAGGCACGAAAGCGUGGGGAGCAAA
Molecule: ribosomal RNA, 400 nt
Filed under: uncultured bacterium
Lineage: Bacteria
Description: bacterial SSU rRNA
Rfam family: Bacterial small subunit ribosomal RNA
Source: RNAcentral